Molecule: long non-coding RNA, 782 nt
Organism: Helianthus annuus (common sunflower)
Lineage: Eukaryota; Viridiplantae; Streptophyta; Magnoliopsida; Asterales; Asteraceae
Exons: 2
Source: RefSeq, a predicted model, not a curated record
UAUUCCAUCUUUAAAGAAAAGUGGUCUCUCUUACCCUCUAAGUUAAAAAAUUUACACACUCUACACCUUCACCUGCUUUACUCUCUCUCUUUCUCAACUUCUAUAUCAAAGGGAGGGAGAUGCAAUAUAUCUUGAUGUUAAAAACACCAUGAUUGUUAUAAGCUCAUCGUCAUCCAUUCGUUUCGACUGCCCAAUAUUCGAUAUUGGACAAGACAUCUAGAGCAGUAGUUUACGUAGAAGAGGUAGAAAGAGUGUCAUGGGGAGGAACAACAGUGUGGUUUUCAGGGUGCUAGUAUUAGUUUGCGUUUUUUUGUUAUUCGGUGUUUCCAUAAUCACACAAGGUGCAAUUCCACCCACUCAAAGUGUUAGUUUUGCCAUGUCAAAAGGAGAAGCAACAAGGCACAAGGGGUUGGUUCUUAAUUAUGUCAGCAAAAGAAGAGUACCAAAUGGACCUGAUCCUAUUCACAAUAGGAAAAUUUCCAACACAAGACAACCUCCGGAACGAGUCUAGGAUUGACUUGGAAGACUCGCGUAUGGAAAUAGGUCCGGAAACCAAAGUAGAAUUGCAAGAAGUUUCUGUGGAUCUUGAAAUCAGUCAAAUUAAUGUUACAUUGUUGAGAUAGUGAUCAUGAUGAUAUUUGAUCAUCUUUUUGUGUCUGGAUGAAUUCACUUUUUUAAAGGGUAAUGAUGGGUGUCUUUGUAUGUAGUAGUUGUUCAAAGUUUGAAUAGUAAGAUUCAUGAUUUGUGAUGUUUAGUUUUAGAUGAAAAGGAAUGAAAUCUAA